RNAcentral lists this ribosomal RNA (293 nucleotides) under uncultured bacterium. RNAcentral's name for it is "partial 16S ribosomal RNA". It matches the Rfam family "Bacterial small subunit ribosomal RNA", at positions 505 to 796 of the family's 1533-position model. The record is from RNAcentral.
GUGUCAGCAGCCGCGGUAACACGUAGGGGGCGAGCGUUGUCCGGAUUUAUUGGGCGUAAAGAGCUCGUAGGCGGUUCGCUAAGUCGGGUGUGAAACCUCCAGGCUCAACCUGGAGACGCCACCUGAUACUGGUGUGACUAGAGUCCGGUAGGGGAGUGUGGAACUCCUGGUGUAGCGGUGAAAUGCGCAGAUAUCAGGAAGAACACCAGCGGCGAAGGCGGCACUCUGGGCCGGUACUGACGCUGAGGAGCGAAAGCGUGGGUAGCAAACAGGAUUAGAUACCCCAGUAGUCC